This 116-nucleotide long non-coding RNA is filed under the name Canis lupus dingo (dingo). RNAcentral's name for it is "lncRNA (ENSCAFG00020000515.1)". Lineage: Eukaryota; Metazoa; Chordata; Mammalia; Carnivora; Canidae. The record is from RNAcentral.
CUGGUACUGUUGACAAGCAUCUCAAGCAGCAUAAAAGUGUGCUGGAGCAGCAGUUGGCUAUCCCUAACUUACAUUUUUGCUUAAAAAAAAAAAAAGACCUUAAAGAAAACUGGAAG